This 387-nucleotide ribosomal RNA is filed under the name uncultured bacterium. RNAcentral's name for it is "bacterial SSU rRNA". It matches the Rfam family "Bacterial small subunit ribosomal RNA", at positions 28 to 417 of the family's 1533-position model. The record is from RNAcentral.
GACGAACGCUGGCGGCGUGCUUAACACAUGCAAGUCGAGCGGUAAGGCCCUUUCGGGGGUACACGAGCGGCGAACGGGUGAGUAACACGUGGGUGACCUGCCCUCAGCUCUGGGAUAAGCCUGGGAAACUGGGUCUAAUACCGGAUAUGACUCCACGGCGCAUGUUGUGGGGUGAAAGCCUUGUGUGGCUAGAGAUGGGCCCGCGGCCUAUCAGCUUGUUGGUGGGGUGAUGGCCUACCAAGGCGACGACGGGUAGCCGGCCUGAGAGGGCGACCGGCCACACUGGGACUGAGACACGGCCCAGACUCCUACGGGAGGCAGCAGUGGGGAAUCUUGCGCAAUGGGCGAAAGCCUGACGCAGCGACGCCGCGUGAGGGAUGACGGCCU